AUGUCAGAAAGUGAGUUAUCAGUAAUAAAACCAGAGUCGUUGAAGACUUAUAUUUGGCUUCAGUGCUUUGAUGGAUCCAUACAGCAAGUGGAGGAAGAGGUUGCCAUGUUCUGCCCUAUGAUAUGUCGAGAAAUUGUCAAAAAUGGAACAGGAUCAUCCAAAAAUCAUGCUAUUGCUCUCCCAGAAAGAGUUAAUCCAUCAAGUUUGAGUUUGAUUCUUGACUAUUGUCGGUUUCAUCAAGUCCCAGGGCGCUCCAACAAGGAGCGGAAGUCAUUUGAUGAGAAGUUUGUUAGGAUAGACACCGAAAAACUUUGUGAGCUGACAUCUGCAGCUGACAGUCUUCAAUUAAAGCCAUUGGUUGAUCUUACUAGUCGAGCACUUGCUCGAAUCAUUGAAGGGAAGACACCUGAGGAAAUCCGUGAUAUUUUUCAUUUACCAGAUGACUUAACGGAGGAAGAAAAAUUGGAGCCACUGAAAAAUAUAAACGAUGAUCCCAGGAUUCGCUUAUUGAAUCGAUUGUAUGCAAAGAAACGGAAAGAACUACAGGAGCGCCAGAAACUAAAGGAUAUUCAGGUACAGCAAGAGCAAAAGGAUGAGCGAUCUUUGGACGAGUUACUUUGUUUUAUAAAUGGGGAUGGAGGUUCUGGAGGUGGGAAAGCUGGUAAGAAUAAGAAAAAGAACAAGAGAAGGAAGGAUCCGAAGAACCUCCCAAAGGCUGACCCUGAACAUGUAAAUAAGGAGGAAGGUGCCCGUGCGGUACCAUGCAAUGCGGGUGCUGUUAAUAAUAUUUCUAGAGCUCCUUGCCCAAGUUCAGAUGUGCAAGAUGAUAAUGAGUACCCCUUUGAAGAUGGUGAUCUUGAUGAUGGACUUGAUCCUGCAAUGCAGGAAGAGCUUGAUAGGGAAGUUGAAGAUUUCGCUAGGAGGCUGAAUUCUGUUUGGCCUGAAAGAAUGCAUUUGGGUCAAGAAAGAAGAAUUGAGUCGCAGCUGAUUGGUGGUAAUGGUUCUCUGCAGAGAUUUUCUGGUAAUUUUUUCCAUAUAGAAUAG
RNAcentral lists this ribosomal RNA (1044 nucleotides) under Triticum aestivum (bread wheat). RNAcentral's name for it is "partial small subunit ribosomal RNA". Lineage: Eukaryota; Viridiplantae; Streptophyta; Magnoliopsida; Poales; Poaceae. The record is from RNAcentral.